This 257-nucleotide long non-coding RNA is filed under the name Lathyrus oleraceus (garden pea). RNAcentral's name for it is "Pisum sativum (pea) long non-coding RNA (PSAT_LNC015842)". Lineage: Eukaryota; Viridiplantae; Streptophyta; Magnoliopsida; Fabales; Fabaceae. The record is from RNAcentral.
CAAAAAUCAAUGUUUCUUUUUUCAAUAUACUUCUUUAAGUCCGAAAAUAAUACAUAAUAGAGAAUGCACCAAGACAAUUUAACUACUUUAUUUUGUUGAAUUAAAUUUUUAAUCUUUUAAUUUAUUUAUUACAUUUUGAUUUCAUAAUUUAUUGUUGUUUUAAUGUUAGAAUUUAUUUAUAUUAGUUAAAUUAGUCUCUUCUACAGCUAAAAUAAAGAAAUAGUUAAAUAUUAAAAAACUAUUAAAUCUAAUAGAAA